CCUACGGGAGGCAGCAGUGGGGAAUAUUGGGCAAUGGAGGCAACUCUGACCCAGCAACGCCGCGUGAAUGAUGAAGGUCUUCGGAUUGUAAAGUUCUGUUAUGGGGGAUGAACACAAUGACGGUACCCCAAUAGCAAGCCACGUCUAACUACGUGCCAGCAGCCGCGGUAAUACGUAGGUGGCAAGCGUUAUCCGGAUUGACUGGGCGUAAAGGGUGCGUAGGUGGUUUAGUAAGUUGGCGGUGUAAUUCCGGGGCUCAACCUUGGCGCUACCGCCAAAACUAGUAGACUAGAGUGCAGGGGAGGUAAGUGGAAGUCCUAGUGUAGCGGUGGAAUGCGUAGAUAUUAGGAAGAACAUCAGGGGCGAAGGCGACUUACUGGACUGUCACUGACACUGAGGCACGAAAGCGUGGGGAGCAAACAGGAUUAGAUACCCGUGUAGUC
Molecule: ribosomal RNA, 443 nt
Filed under: uncultured bacterium
Lineage: Bacteria
Description: partial 16S ribosomal RNA
Rfam family: Bacterial small subunit ribosomal RNA
Source: RNAcentral